AUUCAGAAGGUGAGCAAUUGGCAUAUUCUUCCAUUGGAGAAUUGUUUUUUUCUUGUCAGGAUUCUAUUUCUGUUUUGUUUUAACAUAUUUCCAUGGUUAAUAAUAUCUGAUAUGUUUUACCAUGUUGCAUUUGGAACUGCCUGCAUUCUGUCAUUGCUGACAGUAAAGAACCAGAGUAAGACAGGGUAGACCAACUUCUGGAUGAAAGUAGGGUUCUAAGUUUAAACACUAAUGGGAGAAAGAUGAAAUAAUCCUAGUUGGCAUUUCCUUCUCUCAGUUUGAAGAAUCCUUACCCAGUUGCUAAUAUGGUAGCCUCAGUCACCACAAGGAUAUGUUGGUAAGACAUUUUUGAG
This 353-nucleotide long non-coding RNA is filed under the name Pan troglodytes (chimpanzee). Its description in RNAcentral is "long non-coding RNA NONPTRT001384". Lineage: Eukaryota; Metazoa; Chordata; Mammalia; Primates; Hominidae. The record is from RNAcentral.